RNAcentral lists this ribosomal RNA (480 nucleotides) under uncultured bacterium. Its description in RNAcentral is "bacterial SSU rRNA". It matches the Rfam family "Bacterial small subunit ribosomal RNA", at positions 96 to 562 of the family's 1533-position model. The record is from RNAcentral.
CGGCCGACGGGUGAGUAACACGUGGGCAACCUACCUUUGAGAUUGGGAUAACUACCGGAAACGGUAGCUAAUACCGGAUAGGACAUGAUUACAUAAGUAGUGAUGUUAAAAGGCGGAUUUAUCUGCCGUUCAAAGAUGGGCCUGCGGUGCAUUAGCUAGUUGGUGAGAUAGUAGCUCACCAAGGCGACGAUGCAUAGCCGACCUGAGAGGGUGAUCGGCCACACUGGGACUGAGACACGGCCCAGACUCCUACGGGAGGCAGCAGUAGGGAAUCUUCCGCAAUGGACGCAAGUCUGACGGAGCAACGCCGCGUGAGUGAAGAAGGGUUUCGGCUCGUAAAACUCUGUUGUUAAGGAAGAACACUUGAGGCAGUAACUGGCCUCAAGCUGACGGUACUUAACCAGAAAGCCACGGCUAACUACGUGCCAGCAGCCGCGGUAAUACGUAGGUGGCAAGCGUUAUCCGGAAUUAUUGGGCGUA